RNAcentral lists this ribosomal RNA (510 nucleotides) under uncultured bacterium. RNAcentral describes it as "partial 16S ribosomal RNA". It matches the Rfam family "Bacterial small subunit ribosomal RNA", at positions 28 to 507 of the family's 1533-position model. The record is from RNAcentral.
GACGAACGCUGGCGGCGUGCUUAACACAUGCAAGUCGAACGAAGAGCGAUGGAAGCUUGCUUCUAUCAAUCUUAGUGGCGAACGGGUGAGUAACGCGUAAUCAACCUGCCCUUCAGAGGGGGACAACAGUUGGAAACGACUGCUAAUACCGCAUACGAUCCGACCUCGGCAUCGAGGAUGGAUGAAAGGUGGCCUCUAUUUAUAAGCUAUCACUGAAGGAGGGGAUUGCGUCUGAUUAGCUAGUUGGAGGGGUAACGGCCCACCAAGGCAAUGAUCAGUAGCCGGUCUGAGAGGAUGAACGGCCACAUUGGGACUGAGACACGGCCCAGACUCCUACGGGAGGCAGCAGUGGGGAAUCUUUCGCAAUGGACGAAAGUCUGACGGAGCAACGCCGCGUGAGUGAUGACGGCCUUCGGGUUGUAAAGCUCUGUUAAUCGGGACGAAAGGUCUUCUUGCGAAUAGUUAGAAGAAUUGACGGUACCGGAAUAGAAAGCCACGGCUAACUACGUG